UACGUAGGCAGCAAGCGUUGUUCGGAGUUACUGGGCGUAAAGAGUGCGUAGGUGGUGCCCUAAGUCUGUUGUGAAAUCUCCCGGCUUAACUGGGAGGGUGCGGUGGAAGCUGGGGUGCUUGAGUGUGGGAGAGGUAAGCGGAAUUCCUGGUGUAGCGGUGAAAUGCGUAGAUAUCAGGAGGAACACCGGUGGUGUAGACGGCUUACUGGACCACGACUGACACUGAGGCACGAAAGCGUGGGUAGCAAACAGG
RNAcentral lists this ribosomal RNA (253 nucleotides) under uncultured bacterium. Its description in RNAcentral is "partial 16S ribosomal RNA". It matches the Rfam family "Bacterial small subunit ribosomal RNA", at positions 524 to 776 of the family's 1533-position model. The record is from RNAcentral.